AGAGUUUGAUCCUGGCUCAGGACUAACGCUGGCGGCGUGCCUAACACAUGCAAGUCGAGCGGGGGUGCACUUGUAGCAAUACUUGUGUACUUCAGCGGCAGACGGGUGAGUAACGCGUAGAUAACGUGCCCUUCAGUGGGGGAUAGCCGUUGGAAACGACGGGUAAUACCACAUUCGCUCGUUGGGAGACAUCUUCCGACGAGGAAAGCAGCGAUGCGCUGGAGGAGCGGUCUGCGUCCUAUUAGCUUGUUGGUGGGGUAAUGGCCUACCAAGGCGACGAUGGGUAGCCGUUCUGAGAGGAUGAUCGGCCACACUGGCACUGAGAUACGGGCCAGACUCCUACGGGAGGCAGCAGUGAGGGAUUUUGCGCAAUGGGCGAAAGCCUGACGCAGCAACGCCGCGUGAGGGACGACGGCCUUCGGGUUGUAAACCUCUGUCAGCAGGGAAGAGAACGGACGGUACCUGCUGA
This 469-nucleotide ribosomal RNA is filed under the name uncultured bacterium. RNAcentral describes it as "bacterial SSU rRNA". It matches the Rfam family "Bacterial small subunit ribosomal RNA", at positions 8 to 485 of the family's 1533-position model. The record is from RNAcentral.